This 289-nucleotide ribosomal RNA is filed under the name Ornithodoros coriaceus. RNAcentral describes it as "partial 16S ribosomal RNA". The stretch from base 139 to 289 matches the Rfam family "Bacterial large subunit ribosomal RNA", at positions 2473 to 2620 of the family's 2925-position model. The record is from RNAcentral. Lineage: Eukaryota; Metazoa; Arthropoda; Arachnida; Ixodida; Argasidae.
UAAUUUAUAUUUUAAUUAAGAUUAUUAGAAAUUUAUUUUUUAGUUAUGAUUGGGGUGAUUUUUAAAGAUUAUUAAUCUUUAAAAUUUUUUAAUAAAAAAGUUCCAUUAGUACACGUUUUUUGAUAAAAAUACUCUAGGGAUAACAGCGUUAUUAUUUUGGAUAGUUCAUAUAGAUAAAAUAGUUUGCGACCUCGAUGUUGGAUCUAGAGAUUCUUUUAUGGAUGAAGAAGUUAUAAGGGAGAAGUUUGCUCAACUUUUAAAGUCCUACUUGAUCUGAGUUCAGACCGGG